UGGCCUCCAGCUUGACCUCAAGCCACUGACCACAACCCUUUAAGCGUGGCAGUUCAGUCAGUUUUCAAUUCACCCCACUGUCCAUUUACCUAGUCCAUCAGUUUCUCUGAGGAUGCUAUGGGAGACAGUGUUGAAAGUCUUGCUCAAGUCAACAUAAAUAAUGUCAACUACUCUCCCUUCCUCCACCAAGCCACCUGUAUCAUCUCAUCAUAGGGGAGGCAUAAUCUCCACUUUGUAAAUCAAUGCUGACUACUCCCCAACACCUUCUUGUCCUUAACAAGUUUGGAAAUCCUUCCCAGGGACUGAGGUGAGGCUGCCUGCUCUACAGAUUCUUGGCUCUUCCUUUUUGCCCUUCCUGAAGAAAGCAGUGACAUUUGUUUUUAUUCCAGUCCGCAGGAACCUCCCCUGACCAUCAAGACCUUUCAGAGAUUAGCAAGAGUGGCCUCACAGUGACAUCAGCCAGCUCUAUGACGUUAUAACUUGCAUAAUUCAAAUCUACAGGAAGCAGCAUGUUCCAUGAAUUUCAGGAUUUACAGGCAGGAAGAAAACUGAUCCUCAAUUGUACAUGACAGUGAUCUUUAACCUUUGGAAUUAAGGAAGCAGCACAUUCCAUGAAUUGCUGGAUUGGCAGGGAGGCAGAAAAUUGAUCUGUAAUUGUACAUGGGAAUGAUCUUUAACCUAUGAAAUUAAGAUUCACCUGAGAUUUUCCCAGACGUAGGUGGACCAAGACCUACUGUAGCUCAUGUAUGAAUAUUUGCACAGACCUGGUUAACUACAGUACCAGCUGAAAAUGCAUGGUAAGAGGAGAAAACUGUUUUCCACAAAAGAAACCCAAAGUGGUAUUGAUUUUAACAGUGCACAACACACUAUAAAAGAAAGAAAAACACUUUAAAAUACAACAAUCUGCAACAAGUGUUAUCAGAGUUCCAUUCACAGAAGGACAAACUAGGCAUCAGAUGAAGAAAGCAGAAUAACUUAAGUAUCUGCAGUACAACACCUUCCCAACCAGAGCGCUCAAUGUGACAUUGUGUUUGAGAGAUGAAGUUGUGCUUGGGAGAAUUCCUGCAUUGCCUUAUAAUUCAUGCCAGACAGCUGAUGAUAAGAGGCUGGCUGCAGCCCAGCACACAGACAGCCUCUACCUUCCCAUCGACCUGUCCUCACAGGCAGCGCUGUGAUAAUUCAUGCUCCUGGUCCUGGGGGUAAGGAGAAACUUCUCAGUCCCAUGCCUCAGCUCCCCAGGGCUGUAGGGCUGUCAGGUUAUGUGUUCCUUUCCUUAUCACUCAAAAGCAGAGCCUCACAUUGCUCCUGGUGACAUGCUGCCUCCAGGACGGUUUCCAUUAGUGUGAUAUGAAGGGACAGUAGAGCAAGGCAGGGUGGAAAGCUGGGAGAGGGACAUGGUGACAUCUCCAACACUGAGCAUGCAGACACUGGCUGUAGUCCCAUCACCACUGGAAAAGCCUCCUUAGCUGCUAUGGUCAAGAAAAUAAUCUUGUUCUGUGAAGUAUGGGCAAAAUUAAACAGUUCAUAACUUC
Long non-coding RNA from Strigops habroptila (Kakapo), 1532 nucleotides. RefSeq lists it as uncharacterized. The record is from RefSeq and is a predicted model, not a curated record. The transcript has 3 exons. NCBI's taxonomy places the organism in Eukaryota, Metazoa, Chordata, Aves, Psittaciformes, Psittacidae.